Non-coding RNA from Microtus oregoni (creeping vole), 504 nucleotides. Lineage: Eukaryota; Metazoa; Chordata; Mammalia; Rodentia; Cricetidae. The record is from the annotation of a RefSeq genome assembly.
AUGAACUACUUCCCAGAACUAGUGACUGCACUCUUCGUAAUGUUUGGAGAAAGCAAUGGAGACUCAGUGACUCAGACAGAAGGCCAAGUGACACUCUUUGAAGGGACCUCUCUGACUGUGAACUGUUCCUAUGAAACCAAACAGUACCCAGCCCUGUUCUGGUACGUGCAGUACCCAGGAGAAGGUCCAAAGCUCCUCUUCAAAGUCUCAAAGGCCAACGAGAAGGGAAGCAGCGGAGGUUUUGAAGCUACAUAUGAUGAAGGAUCCACUUCCUUCCACUUGCAGAAAGCCUCAGUCCAAGAGUCAGAUUCGGCUGUGUACUACUGUGCUCUGGGUGCCACAGUAACAGAAACCACAGGGGGAGCUGAGCACAAACUCUGGGAAGCACAGGCCUGGCUGCUGAGUGUGUCUGAGAUCACCCAUUUAGGGACCAGGGACAGAUCUGCUAUUAUUUACACUCACCACACACUCAGGCACUGCUACAGUGUAAACCAUACAAAUUAA